RNAcentral lists this ribosomal RNA (510 nucleotides) under uncultured bacterium. RNAcentral describes it as "partial 16S ribosomal RNA". It matches the Rfam family "Bacterial small subunit ribosomal RNA", at positions 28 to 507 of the family's 1533-position model. The record is from RNAcentral.
GACGAACGCUGGCGGCGUGCUUAACACAUGCAAGUCGAACGAAGAGCGAUGGAAGCUUGCUUCUAUCAAUCUUAGUGGCGAACGGGUGAGUAACGCGUAAUCAACCUGCCCUUCAGAGGGGGACAACAGUUGGAAACGACUGCUAAUACCGCAUACGAUCCAAUCUCGGCAUCGGGACUGGAUGAAAGGUGGCCUCGAUUUAUAAGCUAUCACUGAAGGAGGGGAGUGCGUCUGAUAAGCUAGUUGGAGGGGUAACGGCCCAACAAGGCGAUGAUCAGUAGCCGGUCUGAGAGGAUGGACGGCCACAUUGGGACUGGGACACGGCCCAGACUCCUACGGGAGGCAGCAGUGGGGGAUCUUCCGACAUGGACGGAAGUCUGACGGAGCAACGCCGCGUGGGUGAUGACGGCCUUCGGGUUGUAAAGCUCUGUUAAUCGGGACGAAUGGUUCUUGUGCGAAUAGUGCGAGGAUUUGACGGUACCGGAAUAGAAAGCCACGGCUAACUACGUG